AGCCCAUGGUGCGGGCAUCUUUGCAAAAGGUCUUUAUAUCUCUCCCAUGUAUCGUAGAGUGUUUCUAAAUCCAUCUACACAAAAGAAGAGAUAUCAUUACGUAAUUUU
Molecule: non-coding RNA, 108 nt
Organism: Gossypium arboreum
Lineage: Eukaryota; Viridiplantae; Streptophyta; Magnoliopsida; Malvales; Malvaceae
Source: Rfam